GUGACGAAGCGACGCCGCGUGGGUGAGGAAGGCCUUCGGGUUGUAAAGCCCUGUCAGGAGUUAAGAAAUGUAAGUGUGUUAAUACCACAUUUACUUGACGAAAGCUCCAAAGGAAGCCACGGCUAACUCUGUGCCAGCAGCCGCGGUAAUACAGAGGUGGCAAGCGUUGUUCGGAAUUAUUGGGCGUAAAGAGCACGUAGGUGGGCUUGUGUGUCAGACGUGAAAGCCUUCUGUUCAACGGAAGAAUUGCAUCUGAAACUGCAAGCCUUGAGUGUAGGAGGGGAGAAUGGAACUUCUGGUGGAGCGGUGAAAUGCGUAGAUAUCAGAAGGAACGCCGGCGGCGAAAGCGAUUCUCUGGCCUAUUACUGACACUCAGUGUGCGAAAGCUAGGGGAGCAAACGGGAUUAGAUACCCCGGUAGUCCUAGCCGUAAACGAU
This 437-nucleotide ribosomal RNA is filed under the name uncultured Planctomycetota bacterium. RNAcentral's name for it is "bacterial SSU rRNA". It matches the Rfam family "Bacterial small subunit ribosomal RNA", at positions 383 to 810 of the family's 1533-position model. The record is from RNAcentral. Lineage: Bacteria; Pseudomonadati; Planctomycetota.